This 167-nucleotide unclassified non-coding RNA is filed under the name uncultured Sordariomycetes. RNAcentral describes it as "sequence contains ITS1". The record is from RNAcentral. Lineage: Eukaryota; Fungi; Ascomycota; Sordariomycetes.
CAGGGUCUGACGACUGCCCAAACCAAACCGUGAACCUUUUCUACCAACAUUGCUACGGCGGGCCGCUCGCUGGGGGAGCCCUCUGGCCGUUUCGACGGUGGGCCGCCGAAGCAAACCAAAAAGACAACCACUCUGACACGCUUCUGAGAAAACUUUCUAAAAAGUCA